GCUCCUGUGGCUCAGAUGGUAGAGCAAUUGAUUCGUAAUCAAUAGGUCGAGGGUUCAAGUCCCUUCGGGAGCU
Molecule: transfer RNA, 73 nt
Filed under: Clostridia bacterium
Lineage: Bacteria; Bacillati; Bacillota; Clostridia
Description: tRNA-Thr
Rfam family: tRNA
About the family: Transfer RNA (tRNA) molecules are approximately 80 nucleotides in length. Their secondary structure includes four short double-helical elements and three loops (D, anti-codon, and T loops).
Source: RNAcentral